AUGUAUCAUAAGAAGAAAAUCUGUUCAUACGUUCACAAAUAUGUUUUCUCCUAAUCUGUCUUCAGGAAAAUGUCUUUGUGAGGAGCAAGAGUGGUGAUCUCAGGAGAGCUGGGACAAAGGGACAGAACAGAUACAGAAUUUCUCUGCUGGGAUUUUUCCAACGGGAUCCAUGGAGAAGGAUCGAUCCAACACCCAUCAUACAGCCACAGUCCCUCCAUGUGGCACGGGAACACGUGUCCAUGCCAGCAGGCAGGAGGGAAGGAAUGAUACCCACUGGCCACACCCCAGUGCACCAGCUGAACUUGGGGAGAGGGGCUGCGGGUGGCCCUGAGCUGCAGCAUCCUCCUCAGAGGGACACAGCAGAGUCAGCAGAAACACCUGAAGCUCCUGGCUCUGCUCUGUCAAGCCUCAGCCAGAAGCAGGGACACCUUCCACUGUCCCAGGCUGCUCCAAGCCCCAGUGUCCAGCCUGGCCUGGGACACUGCCAGGGAUCCAGGGGCAGCCACAGCUGCUCUGGGCACCCUGUGCCAGGGCCUCACCAUCCUCACAGGGAAGGAUUUCUACCACACAGCCAACCUAAAUUUCCCCUCUGUCAGUGUGAAACCAUUCCCUCUUGCCCUCUCGCUGCAGCUCCUGGUGAAGACUCCCUCUCUGGCUUCUUUGUAUACCCCUUCAGAUACUGGAGGGCUCUGGGAGGUCCCCCUGAGCCUUCUCCCCUCCAGGCUGAGCAGGCCCUGCUUUCUCAGGCUCACAGGGGAGGUGCUCCAGGGCCCUUACCAACUUUGUAACUCCUCUGCUCUUCCUGCCCCUUACCAACUUUGUAACUCCUCUGGCCUUGCUGCCCCUUACCAACUUUGUAACUCCUCUGCUCUUCCUGCCCCUUACCAACUUUGUAACUCCUCUGCUUUUCCUGCCCCUUACCAACUUUGUAACUCCUCUGGCCUUGCUGCCCCUUACCAAGUUUGUAACUCCUCUGCUCUUCCUGCCCCUUACCAACUUUGUAACUGCUCUGGCCUCACUGCCACAGUGCCGUCCAUUGGGGGCACAGAACAGAUCCAUCUGCACUGGUGCUUGGGUGGGAAUGUUCUCCCAGCCAUUGUGAUGACUAACACAAGGAACCCCUUAGAACUCCUUUUGUUGGAGUAGGAUUCUGAUUCCUACUCAGCUGAACCGAUCCUGUGAGAUUUUCACCAGUUCUGAGGCUCUGGACCACCAUUUCUACUAUUGCAGCUCUCGAUUUCUGCCCUGUUCAGCACCCUCCUACUCACAGUCAGUUCUGAAGUGUGAGCCUGGGUCACACAGCUUGGGAACAGGUUCCCAGAGCAUGUUCUGGAGUCACAUUUGGGCCCCAGGGAGGCCUGGGAGUUGCCAAACUCUGGAUGACAGAAUUCCCUGCAGGACGUCAGCCAACACUCCCAGAUGUUCUGAGCAGAUGUAGAACAGUGUAAUGGACAUGAGAAAUGUUCUCUGAGUUAUUAACCAUGAGUGCAAGGACAGUUCCAUCUCUGCUUUGGGAAGGAGUAGUGCAAAGUCUGUCACUGCAGUGACUCUGUGCAAUAAUUCUCCAAGGAGUGGCGCAAGCAGCGUGUUCUGCUCUGCCUGCCCCAGAGAGCAGAGGGGCACUCGGGGACAGGGUUCAGAGCUGGCCUUGCCAGUGCUGAGUCACCCAUUGGACUCAGUGAUCUCAGAGCACUUUUCCAACCUCAUCCAGCCCAUGGUUCUUCGAUUCCAUGAUCCUCUCUGAGGACACGCUGCUGUGUCCCAUGUGGACGUUGGCAGAUGUCCCUGCCUGGCAAAGCCUCAGCUCACCAGGAACGAGAGGAGAUGGGAGAACAAAAGUAGGGGGAAACCUGCUCAUGGCUGACUUCCAGACACAGUAAAAUGGGGAAUUAGGGACUUCUCAGUAUGAAUAUUUUUUGCCUAAGUGCUUGGGCUGUUUUUGGUCCUGAGCUUGUCUGAGAAAACAGUUUUCCUAGGCUGACUAAUCCAACCGUAAGCAGCAGCCUAAAUAAUAGUCAUGACUUACAGUUUUAAUUAUGCUGCCUUCUGCCAGCAGAAGCUGAGAAGGAGCGGGAGGUGUGCUGGGUUGUUACAUUGUGGUGUUCAUGCACACCCAAACACGGGACAUGGGACAUGCUCUGCAGCACCAGGGCACUGGUGGUUGAAGCAGAGGACCCCUGCUUCCUACCUGUGCAGAGGUGGGUGGCUGUAGCUGUAACUCCUGCCCUGGCAGUGUUCUCCAGCACUUCUGUACACACAUCUUGAUGUUCCCUUCACAUGAAGUACUCAUUGCAGCUUUUCCUUGGACUCUGGCUCACAUGUGGCUGUUUGUGGGAGCGUGUCCAAGGCAAACUGAGUGUCAGGAGCGUGCAUCAUUUAUUUUGGGACACAGCAUGGCCACAUCACAGCAGAAGCACGGGCUCACUAUUGACAUUAGCACACGCAGCAGUGUGCUGAAACGGCAUCACCUGGCACGGCACAGACACCAUCUUGAGCACAAUCUGAUGAUUCCUUUGUGGAUCAGCUGAGUCUCUGCGUGCUUAACCAUUGGCCUCCCCUGGUAAAGUCCUUCCAGAAUGGAAAAGGAAUAAAAAUACACAUUCAUAACUUUGUCUGAAAGCUUUUUAAU
Long non-coding RNA from Poecile atricapillus (Black-capped chickadee), 2629 nucleotides. RefSeq lists it as uncharacterized. Lineage: Eukaryota; Metazoa; Chordata; Aves; Passeriformes; Paridae. The record is from RefSeq and is a predicted model, not a curated record. The transcript is spliced from 3 exons.